GGCCGUCAGAUCAAACCGACAUUGAUUGGACGGUUAUCCUUGAUCCUUUAGGUCGGUGGAGAGUAAUCCCUGUAGAGAGUCCUGUUUGGACUCCAUGUCAGGGCGGGCGCCCAGGGAAGGAGGGCGGGCGCCCUACCUCUCGGCCCUUUCAGCCUCCGCUUCCUUCCAGUGGCUUUUGGAGUCUUCUAGAUGAUAGAAAAUUGCACGGCACGUUAAUAUCUCUAUGUAAACCCGACGUGUGGGCCUUUCUACCAUAUUUCCUGAUAACCCCCUGCAGAAAUAGACAAACACCAAAACUCGUGGAAUUCUGUCAGAUUGAACCCUAAGUCUGGGUGUUGGUUGCAUUUGGAUCCUUUUCUUUAUUUAUUUGAUGAUUACAUUUGGUACUUAAGGACCGUCAACAACACCCCCAGGCUUACCUCUUGCUCGUCCCUGAGCAAGGAUGAACUCAAGAGUUUCUGCAGUGGUUUCAUGCCUUAAAAAUACACAUGCGUUCAAGCAAGAUCUCAUCUCUGAGUUAGAGUAAACUGUUAAGACUUAAAACUUACUCAUUUUACCUUUCACCAUGGGGCUUGUAACCGUCACUUGUGUCUUGAGCAGUUAAAAGAUAGAACGGUCAAGUCAAGCGCCAUGUCUCUUAUUCUUGAUCAGCUAUAGCUCUGGAGUUUUUGCAGAUUUUCAAAUAAAACUCAGAGAUUCCUUAUAUGAUUCUCUCAAGUCUCUCUUUUGUGGUAUUUCUGGAUCCUUACCAAGGCAGUAAUGGUAUAUGCCUUCACUCAAAGUAUGUGGUAUUUUUGGUAUAAUACAUAGUGAUAUUACCUUCCCUCUCACCCUACUCUAAUAAGGUUUUGAUAUCUAGAGCUCUUAGGUGGGAGACAGCUAAUACAUACUUACAAGACAUUUAUUGCAUAGUCAAACCAUGGAUCCAGAGAAACAAGUCAAUAAGUCAAAUCAAGAUGUGCAUGUGUGGGGAAUGAAUGGUGUAUGGUGAUGAUGGUGAUAACAAUGGUGAAAGUCUAAUUCUAUUUUUGCUCUUUUAAGGGGAUACAUACCUUUCUUGCACUUUGAAGCUUUUUGGGGAGAAUGAGAUUCUCUAUAUUUUCUUUUUCUUUCCUCUCAGGUAGGUAUCUUGUACCCCUAAUUCUACCGUCAGACACUUGUCCAUUUUUACCUCUCGUCUCACUUUUUCUUUUCUUCGAGGUUCCGGGCACUUGCCCCUUUUUAUUUCCUCGUAUUCUUCAUUUUUUUUCUUUUCUUCUUCUUUUUUUAGAGCACUCAUCUCCUGAAAUAAUGUAGCAAGUGGUAGUAACCAAAAUAACUGGAGCAUUUAUUUCACAGGGAAUAACAGGGAUAGGAAAAUAUUUUUGGCUAUUCUCUCCCGGAUUAGGAGUAGAAUACUUUUGGGUGAAUCUAGAGAUGGAAAUGAGUGGAUGUAUGUGGAUGCGUACUUCCAGAGUAGAAGCAGCAUGUGUGAGUAAACGUGCAAGUGAAUCUUGAUUUUAACCGCAUGACAAGCUCCUAAGGGUCUACACAGCUUGACCACACUCAAUGCUCAUAAGUAGUAAAAAGUAAAUGUGUGGCUCAAAGUCUAAUAAGCAUGUAUAUAUGGCUGUGGUAGGAUUUUAAGCUCUCAUCAUACAGGAACUCAUCAUGUGUUAUUUUAAAGAUUUUUAAAGAUAAAAUUCUCCAGAAUUCUAGCAUCUCUAGGAGCAGAUAAACAGCAGCUCAACCUUCCCAUAUCAUAUCCGUUAACAACUUAGACUUUAGAUCAAGUACUCUUCCCACAAGUUCAGGUUUAGAGUAAGUCUUAAUUCAUAACAGUUAUGCCUAAACUUGAGAAAGAUUUCAAUUUUAAGAACUAGUCAUGGCAGAGCAACUAUUCAUCAGUUCCUUGUGAGAGCUUAUCAUGAGGGUUCAUAGCAAACUUUAUUUAUUUAUUUAUUUAGCAAACUAAGCAAAGAUAUAUAUAAAAGCACAAAAUCUUUAUUUGGGUUUUUAUGAUUAUGCAUCUUUUUAUUAUUUGAGUAAAGUAUAAACGCGAGUAUAAACACUUAGCUUGAUAAAUGGGGGUGCUCUCCCCCAAGCUGGAUUUUGACGUAAUUUCUUCUAAUGUAGCUAGCAGGUGGCAGAGGUGUAUUUGAAUGUCGGCAGCACCCUGAUAGCGAUUAGGAUGUCCUCCGUCUGCUAGUCUUCUUUGAUCCUUGAAUUUUGUGGAGCUCAAAUAGACAACAAAGCUUUGUGGAACUGGUUAAGUGUUAGCAUAAAAUCUCUUUGCCUUUAUCAUAUUGAGCUUCCUCUUAAUAAAUUUUAUUUAGCAGGAUCAUGCACUUAUUAUAUAUAUUUUUAUUGUAAGAUGAAAACAUAUUUAUUUUAUGCCACCACAGCCAUGAGCAUACUCACAUGGGGCUUACUAUGUAUUUUUAACAUUUUUAUUUUCUUUUCAAAAUAGCAUGAACCUGAUUAACUAAGCAAACUAUAAUUGAAUAAUUGAAAGGAAAAAGGAUAACUACCAAGUUUACCUCUUGGCAAGGCGUUCGGUGUUUUUAAGUCCUCCGAACGGGACUCUCCGUUUUCUCAAUCAUCCUGGGAUUUGAUGGAUGGCGUAGUCGGUGGUUCCGGCUGCUAUAACUAUCUUCUCUCUCCACACCUGACUCGGUGCUACGGUCUCCUCAGGACAGUUCUGUUCAAGCUGUAUGUCUUCAGACCUUAUCACUUCUCCUUCGUAAUCUACCCAUCCGUCCUUGAUGAUUUGCCUCCUCUGGUUUCAGUUGUGUUGUCUUCUUCUUGUCCUGACCUGCUUAGAAUCUUCAACUAUAUAGUUAGAAUCAUUAAAGUAGUGGUGUACCUUCUCAGAGGGGAAGUGCAUGUGGACUUCUCCGGUUCCAAUAUAGAUGAUGACUUUGAUAGUGUUUGAGGAAUGGUCUUCCAAUGAUGGUAGGUGGAUCAUACUCGUCUUCUCCCAUGUCAAUGACCUGAAAAUCAUCUGGAGCUAAAUGUAUCUUGGUUGUAGGAGCAUGGUUCCAUGCAGGAGCUGAUAAGUGACUAUGGCCAUUGACGUCAGAUCCGGUGUCGUAGAGUGUCUUCUGAAAAGAAUAUCCAUUGAUUGUGCACUCGAUGCUUGGAACACCAGGGUCGUCCUUCU
This 3142-nucleotide long non-coding RNA is filed under the name Sorghum bicolor (sorghum). RNAcentral describes it as "long non-coding RNA (SBIC_LNC012347)". Lineage: Eukaryota; Viridiplantae; Streptophyta; Magnoliopsida; Poales; Poaceae. The record is from RNAcentral.